GCGGUAUGCUUAACACAUGCAAGUCGAACGGUAACAGGCCUUCGGGCGCUGACGAGUGGCGGACGGGUGCGUAACGCGUAGGAAUCUGCCUGUUAGUGGGGGACAACGUGGGGAAACUCACGCUAAUACCGCAUACGCCCUACGGGGGAAAGCGGGGGCUCUUCGGACCUCGCGCUAACAGAUGAGCCUGCGUUGGAUUAGCUAGUUGGUAGGGUAAAGGCCUACCAAGGCGACGAUCCAUAGCUGGUCUGAGAGGACGAUCAGCCACACUGGGACUGAGACACGGCCCAGACUCCUACGGGAGGCAGCAGUGGGGAAUAUUGGACAAUGGGCGCAAGCCUGAUCCAGCAAUACCGCGUGUGUGAAGAAGGCCUGAGGGUUGUAAAGCACUUUUAAUCGGGAGGAACACCUAUCCGCUAAUACCGGGUAGUCUGACAUUACCGAUAGAAAAACACCGGCUAACUCCGUGCCA
RNAcentral lists this ribosomal RNA (472 nucleotides) under uncultured Methylosarcina sp. Its description in RNAcentral is "bacterial SSU rRNA". It matches the Rfam family "Bacterial small subunit ribosomal RNA", at positions 39 to 510 of the family's 1533-position model. Lineage: Bacteria; Pseudomonadati; Pseudomonadota; Gammaproteobacteria; Methylococcales; Methylococcaceae. The record is from RNAcentral.